RNAcentral lists this ribosomal RNA (968 nucleotides) under uncultured bacterium. RNAcentral describes it as "bacterial SSU rRNA". It matches the Rfam family "Bacterial small subunit ribosomal RNA", at positions 535 to 1501 of the family's 1533-position model. The record is from RNAcentral.
CGAGCGUUAAUCGGAAUUACUGGGCGUAAAGCGUGCGCAGGCGGUUCUGAAAGUCAGAUGUGAAAUCCCCGGGCUCAACCUGGGAACUGCGUUUGAAACUCCAGAACUCGAAUAUGUCAGAGGGGGGUAGAAUUCCACGUGUAGCAGUGAAAUGCGUAGAGAUGUGGAGGAAUACCAAUGGCGAAGGCAGCCCCCUGGGAUAAUAUUGACGCUCAUGCACGAAAGCGUGGGGAGCAAACAGGAUUAGAUACCCUGGUAGUCCACGCCCUAAACGAUGUCUACUAGUUGUUGGUGGAGUAAAAUCCAUGAGUAACGCAGCUAACGCGUGAAGUAGACCGCCUGGGGAGUACGGUCGCAAGAUUAAAACUCAAAUGAAUUGACGGGGGCCCGCACAAGCGGUGGAUUAUGUGGAUUAAUUCGAUGCAACGCGAAAAACCUUACCUGGCCUUGACAUGUAGCGAACUUUCCAGAGAUGGAUUGGUGCUCGAAAGAGAACGCUAACACAGGUGCUGCAUGGCUGUCGUCAGCUCGUGUCGUGAGAUGUUGGGUUAAGUCCCGCAACGAGCGCAACCCUUGCCAAUAAUUGCCAUCAUUUAGUUGGGCACUUUAUUGGGACUGCCGGUGACAAACCGGAGGAAGGUGGGGAUGACGUCAAGUCCUCAUGGCCCUUAUGGCCAGGGCUUCACACGUAAUACAAUGGUCGGUACAGAGGGUUGCCAACCCGCGAGGGGGAGCCAAUCCCAGAAAGCCGAUCGUAGUCCGGAUUGUAGUCUGCAACUCGACUACAUGAAGUCGGAAUCGCUAGUAAUCGCGGAUCAGCAUGUCGCGGUGAAUACGUUCCCGGGCCUUGUACACACCGCCCGUCACACCAUGGGAGUGGGUUUUACCAGAAGUAGGUAGUCUAACCGUAAGGGGGACGCUUACCACGGUAGUAUUCAUGACUGGGGUGAAGUCGUAACAAGGUAGCC